UACGGAGGGUGCAAGCGUUGCUCGGAAUUAUUGGGCGUAACGCGCACGCAGGCGGCAGGGUAAGUCAGUUGUGAAACUCCCGGGCUUAACUUGGGAACUGCAGCUGAUACUGCCAUGCUUGAGUACGGAAGAGGGGAGCGGAAUUCCCAGUGUAGAGGUGAAAUUCGUAGAUAUUGGGAGGAAUACCGAUGGCGAAGGCAGGUCUCUGGGCUGACACUGACGCUCAUGCACGAAAGCGUGGGGAGCAAACAGG
RNAcentral lists this ribosomal RNA (253 nucleotides) under uncultured bacterium. RNAcentral describes it as "partial 16S ribosomal RNA". It matches the Rfam family "Bacterial small subunit ribosomal RNA", at positions 524 to 776 of the family's 1533-position model. The record is from RNAcentral.